UGGAAGACAUCAAGAACAAGUUCAAGAACCUUCGCACAACCUUUCAGCGUCAGUACAAAAUGGAGGAGAACCAGCCUGUGAACACCUCUGGAUCAAUCAUUACCUUCCUCCCCACCCCAGCCACCACCUCCCCGCCCUCCUCUACCUCCUGUGUCCCCUCCAACAUGAUGAUAAAAUGUUACUGGACUGAAGAAAGAGAGCGUGCACUAAUAGCGUUCUACUCUGAGCAUAGCUGUCUGUGGAACAAGAGGUCUGAGAACCACAAUAACCGGCAACUCAGACUGAGGCUGCUGGAGGCUCUGAGGAGUCAGCUGUCUGACCACUCUGUGUCUUUCUCAGUUGAAGACGUCAAAUGCAAGUUCAAGAACCUUCGAACAGUUUUCAACCGUGAAUACAAGGCGGUCCAGACGAGCAGGGUGUCUGACAAACUCUAUGUGUCCAAAUGGAAACACUACCAACAAAUGCUCUUCCUCUGUGAGUCCUGUGAUGAAGACGACAGCACAGACGACUUGAUGCCACAGGAAGACAAGGAUCUGGAGCAUGGAAACCAAACACCCUCCUCCACCCUGAGCAGUUUCUCCUCUAGCUCCAACCAAACCAGCAGCAUCAAGUUCAAUCACCCCACUGCUUCGUCCAACGAUGGCAAAACCACCACCAGUGCUGCCUACCAAAUAUUCCUUGCUGCGUCUCCAGAUCUUCUUAAGCUUGCGAGCCAAACAGCUGCUCCUACUCUAACCACCUCUCCUUACACUGCACAACUGGACACCAAGCCUUGCGCAAACCCCUCCCAUCUAAAUGUUUCUACGUCAGGUUCAGUUCAGCCAGACAGCAGACAGAGUGCAGACUCCCGCUGCCACUGGAGCGAGGCCAAAGUUCAGCAGCUGAUAUCCUUUUACUCUGAGCACAGCUGUCUGUGGAACCACAAAUCCGAGAGCUACAGGAACAGGCUGUUGAGACAGACUCUGUUGGAGACACUAAGCAGCAUUCUGUCUGAUAAUGAGCCAGUCCCAUUUUCAGUGGAAGACAUAAAGACAAAGUUCAGAAACUUGCGCACCAUCUUCCAACGUGAACACAAAGCGGUCAGUUCAAACAAAACAUGUGGCUCAGAGGAUUUUUACCUCCCAAAGUGGAAACAUUACCGUGAGCUGAUGUUCCUCUGCGACUCUUGCGAUGAGGAUGAGCAACCUGAUGACCUGCACUUCCAGGAACCACAGGAGUCCUGCCUCCUCCGCUUGGACUGCCAGCCCCCUCCCUCAUCCUUACAUUACCAUGGUGGUCCCCAAUCUGCUACUAAACUGAACAUCACAUCACUGGGUCUGGGAGCCCCUCCCUCGCCUACUCCUCCAGACUCCCAGCACUCUUCUCCCUCCUCCUGCCCCUCCACAUCCUCCUCUCACACUGACAGCAGAGGGUCAGGACGCAAGCGAGCGGGUCGGCGCCUGCUACCCACCACCAUGGAGGUGCUGGACUUCAUGAGGACAAUCUGUCAGAGCCAGAUGGUGUCACCACAUGCAGGGUUCCUCAAGUAUGUGGAGGAAUGUCUGAACGAGACACCACCCGACAAAGUGAAGAAACUGAAGAAGGAGAUAAUUGAGACGAUCCAUAGCAUAUCGGAGGAGAAUUAGUAGCCCCAUUCACACUGCCACUUGAAUGCGGUGAUUCUGCGCCAAUUCUCCGCCUCCUCUACUGUGUGAAAGUCUCAGAGGCUGCAAGGGAAGAAAUUCUGCUCCGGCACUGAUCCGCCUCUGGAGGUAGUAUCAGAGGCGCAGCAUUAGCGAACCAAACCAGUGUGGAUGGAUGAGGUGGAGGCGCGAAGCGGAGGCGUGUCGGUCUGACAGUCUGAUAACUACACAGGUCCUUCACUCAACUAAAUACAGAGAAAUGACCGACAAAGCACCGUUAGAGGACCAAACAAAACAUAACUGUAACUGUCUCUGGCAACUUAUAUGAGGAAAAAAAUACCGCAGAUGUAAGUGGAGAGGUGUCUGUACUCCUGCCUGUCCUACCGACUCUUCGUCACAUUUCUGCCCGAAAAACAGCGUUUGUCACCGAAAAAAAACCUUUUUUGUGUAGAAAAAAAUGACUGCGACUGUCAGCCACCCCAACCGAGACUUUAGUGAACUUUCCCCCAGAAAACAGCCUCCCUCCCCGCGAAUGACUCCCCGUGAGUCAGACAGUGUCCUGUUUACUGAUGGUGAUUAUGUAAUUAUGUAACAAAAAACAUCUAAACCUUUCCAGGAUGUUUGGUGGGUCAGGAUCUCAAGCAAAACACAUUAUAACAGCAUCCAUAUGAUUAUUAGCAUUCAGUUUAUGUUAACAGGAGGACUCUGGGGGAAACACCUUGAAAACACACGGACGUCAUCAUCAUGAUGUGUACCGUCGCACGUCCUUAGGAUCUGCAGCGCCAGCUUGCUUUGUGACUUACACAGUGGUUCGUUUUUACACCACAGUUGCUUGGCUCUGUGUGAACAAACUAUGGCGGAGUAUUGGCAAACUGUCGCUGCAGCGAUAAUGCGGUGUCUCUGUGUGAAAAGGGCUACUGAAUCACAGUUUGUGUUCUGUAGCUUAAGUCAGUCAGUGCGUUUACAUGACACUCAAGAAAACUGAAUUACUGUGUUAGUCCGACUAUGAUGGGAUUUCUAAGAUGCAUGUAUACACCUUAGUCUGACUGAAAUCGGACCGGAUAGGAUUUCUCAUAGUCGAAUUAAAGCACCCAGAUUAUUCAAUUGAUAGUCGCAUUACUCCUGCAUGUAUACGUUCUAUCAGAUCGGAUCGGAUUUUGCAUUCUGCGCGAGAUUUUUCCCGGGGCCGUGAGCCAGAAGUAGACAGACGGCGGCGGUGUCUUUCCUCCGAAAUCACCGCAAGAAAGAGCGCCAUUGUCCAUCUAGUUUGUGUAAUUAUCAUGACCACCAUAUACGAAGUGUACAAAGAUGUAGCUUCGUCUCGCUCUUCGUACGCCAUCUUUCUCCAAUGCCGAGGCAGUUUGUUGUUGCUGGUGACGUAAAGAGGUCAGCUGGAGGUGGCUCUGUUACCACUAGUUGAAAUGGGUACAGCGCCACCUAUCGUACCGGGGUAUGACAUGCUCCAGCCCCAUAAUCCGAUUUUCUCACCGGCAUGUAUACUCGGAUAAUUGCAGUUGUCUGAGUAGCAUAGUCGAACUAUGGCUGUAAUCUGACUAAGCUGUGCAUGUUAACGCACUGAGUGUCACUGGUGGUUUGUUUUGUUUUUGUUACCUUAUUCCCUUUGUUUGCUAGCAGCUAUGAUAUCAUUACUUAACAGCUGUUACCUUGAAUCUCAGUAGAAAUCUGUAUGAGGUUCAAACAGGGUCUCAGUCACCAAAACCUCUGCAAUCCUACCACCAAAGAGAAUGUUAUCGUGAACACUUCAACACGUAUAGGAAGAGCUGCUUCUGAAGGGAAACUUCACCAAACCUUGCAGCAGCACCCCUUUUUUGUGAUACUGAGUUUGGAUUUUACACCUACACUUUCUUCUUUGACCUCUGGGGUCAGUGAUGUUUUAGUGUAAACUAAUGAGACGACAGUGGGGCGGAAAUGGUGGGGGCAGCACUUCGUUGUUAGAGUUUUUGCAACUUCAGUGUGAACUGGUCUUUGUCAUCCUCAGCUGGACUUUCAGCUUAUUGUGACAAAGCAAACUUUUGUUGUUGGCAUGUUUUAAGCUCUCUGUACAGUUUAGUCUGCUAACAGCAUACUCAUUUAGCUGCUUGUAUGUUAACAUCGCAGAUGCUAGAAUUUGUUACACUUCAUAACACUCCAGUGUACAGAUUUCACAUAUUUCUAAGUUACAUUCAUGGAUAGUUAUCAUGAGAAUGUCUUUACAUGUGUUUAGAUUGUCAGAAUGCUAAAAUUAGUUUUCAUGCAAUGUUAAAUAUGGAAUAAGUAACUUGCCAAUAGUUGUGGAAAGAGUAUUGAAAGUCUGUACAGUUAAAUAACUGAAAAACUACUCAAUUCCAAGUUAAACCACUGCCAUUUAAAUAACACUUUGGUAAAAGGGUACUCUUCUCAAAUGCUACUCAAGUAUAAGUUGCUUUUUAACCUUUGAUGUUUAAUGCAUUAUCAAUUGUAGGCACUCAUAAUGGGGUUUCUGUUUCUCCAAAUCUUCAGUCUAGAUUAUUCCCAACUCCUGUGCUAUUCAGCCUAGUGGUCAUGUUCACUGCUCCAAACCUGGGCCUGCUGCAGAGUUUUGUGUUAUUUGUCCAUAUGCCAGGGUUUUCACUGGUCAAUUUGCCAUCAGAAUUCCUUGUUGGCCACAAAAAUACACAUGUAAGAUUUUGAUACUCAUUCAAAUUGUCCUCAGUACUUAGUUAUAGUAGAUGAGCUAAUUCCAUCCCUGCUUGCAAAAUGUAGCAACUUAAUGUAGAUAACAGCAUGUUAAAGUGCAUAGGGAGAGAGUGUCAUAAGUCAUUAUAGAAGUAUCUUGUCAUGAAGUAAAGUGUUUGACCAGUAGAUAUCUUGAUUUUUCAAUGGCAAAGGUCAGGCGAUAUCUGAAGUCAUAUCAUUCUGGAGCAUGAUGGACUAUCUGACAUCUUUGUAUUGAUGCUACUUUUAUUGGUAAAUGCGCAUCUGAAUUUGACUUGGGAAGUCUUCCAAAAGAAUUGCAAGAGAUGAGGAAGUACUAUGUCCCAUUGUGUUGUCACAGUAGACAACAUAUUCAUAUGCUUUCUUUCCAAAAUGCCAUACUCACCACUUCAAAUUAGAAUUUGAAACUAGGAUAUGCCAGUGGGUAGUUUCAUCACAAUAUACAUCAGCAGUG
This 4770-nucleotide long non-coding RNA is filed under the name Sparus aurata (gilthead seabream). Its description in RNAcentral is "lncRNA (ENSSAUG00010010703.1)". Lineage: Eukaryota; Metazoa; Chordata; Actinopteri; Spariformes; Sparidae. The record is from RNAcentral.